UGCCAGCAGCCGCGGUAAUACGUAGGGGGCGAGCGUUUUCCACAAGGACUGGGCGUAAAGCGUACGUAGGCGGAUUAAUAAGUUAGAGGUGAAAUCCCAGGGCUCAACCCUGGAACUGCCUUUAAAACUGUUAGUCUUGAGAUCGAGAGAGGUGAGUGGAAUUCCAAGUGUAGAGGUGAAAUUCGUAGAUAUUUGGAGGAACACCAGUGGCGAAGGCGGCUCACUGGCUCGAUACUGACGCUGAGGUACGAAAGUGUGGGGAGCAAACAGGAUUAGAUA
This 279-nucleotide ribosomal RNA is filed under the name uncultured bacterium. Its description in RNAcentral is "partial 16S ribosomal RNA". It matches the Rfam family "Bacterial small subunit ribosomal RNA", at positions 506 to 784 of the family's 1533-position model. The record is from RNAcentral.